Molecule: long non-coding RNA, 1183 nt
Organism: Hydra vulgaris (swiftwater hydra)
Lineage: Eukaryota; Metazoa; Cnidaria; Hydrozoa; Anthoathecata; Hydridae
Source: RefSeq, a predicted model, not a curated record
AACCUCCAAACCAAACUUUAAAAAAAUUCUUUGAAUUCUUUAAAAAAUGUUAUGCGAUAAGUUAAAAAUUCCUUUUUGGACUAAUUUAUGAAAUAUUGUUUGAGGUUUGUUAUAAACAUAAGGUUAAUGUAAUGUUUUGUACAUGCGAUUUUGUUUAACGACUCUGACGCUGAAAAUGCCGCAACUCCAACUCAGACUCCACAUCCCUGGCUGAAAAUUCAAAUAACUUAUCAUGGCCAAUGACAUGGGUUUCGAAAUGGAGGGGCACAAUUGUUAAUUUCUAAAAAAAGUCCUAUAUGCAUGGGAUUUUCUUUAAAAAAAAAAGAAAAAAAAGACCUAAAGCAUCUACCCAUUACCACCACAUUUAGAAAAAGGUGGUAGUGGUGGGUAGGUGCUUCAUUAUCCCCCCUCCCCUCACACUGUUUUGUAAGCCCUGCUUAUUAAGUCUUACUGCAAACUGUAUUUUAAAUAGUACAUCUGCUUUGUCAAAUAAGUUUAUUCAAAAUAUUGAGAAACCGUUUGUGUCAGAUACUUACGAAAUUUUGAUAAAUGUGAGCGUUACGAUCGUCUAAGUGAAAGUGAUGACAGAAAAGAUUACGAUGAUUUAUUCAUUGAAUGUUUUUAUGAAAGUCAAUCAUCAUUUAAUGAUGAAAUUAAAUCAAUUGUUGAUAAACGAAAGUGGUGUAUUUUGAUUCACGAUUGGAAAACUUCUUACUUAACUUCUUGCGAAAAUUAUUUCAUAAAUCAUUACGUAAAAUCUGGAAGAAAGUUAUCGUUGUUACAUGUUAAUAAAAAUAUUUUAAGUGAUGAAGAAAAAAAUCUUUUAAUACAAUGUUCAACUAAUGUUCGCGAGGUCAGCUUUCUUCGUCCAAUUAAUUUCGAAGGAUGGAAACCGAAAGAUAAGAUUGAAAAGUUAGAGAUAUGGAUCUCAGGUUAUUUAAUAACAAAAAAAGAUUUUGAAGAAAAUUUUCUUCCGUGGAUUAAUCUUUGUAAAGAAUUAGAUCUUCUUUACGACGUCUUAAAAUCUUCUUUACGACGUCUUAAUAAAAUCAAUGUCGUCUUCACGACGACAUUGAUUUUAUUAAAGAAAUUUGUGAAUGGAUUCGUUGUUCGAAUGUCAAGAAGUUUAUGAUCAAGUACCGUGGAGAAUAUUUUUAUAACCUCGAUGAAUUAAAAAACUUUA